CCCUGUGCGGAUGACGGUACCGGCAUAAGAAGCACCGGCUAACUACGUGCCAGCAGCCGCGGUAAUACGUAGGGUGCGAGCGUUAAUCGGAAUUACUGGGCGUAAAGCGUGCGCAGGCGGUUUUGUAAGACAGGCGUGAAAUCCCCGGGCUCAACCUGGGAACUGCGCUUGUGACUGCAAGGCUAGAGUACGGCAGAGGGGGGUGGAAUUCCACGUGUAGCAGUGAAAUGCGUAGAGAUGUGGAGGAACACCAAUGGCGAAGGCAGCCCCCUGGGUCGAUACUGACGCUCAUGCACGAAAGCGUGGGUAGCAAACAGGAUUAGAUACCCUGGUAGUCCACGCCCUAAACGAUGUCAACUAGGUGUUGGGUGGGUAAAACCAUUUAGUACCGUAGCUAACGCGUGAAGUUGACCGCCUGGGGAGUACGGCCGCAAGGUUAAAACUCAAAGGAAUUGACGGG
RNAcentral lists this ribosomal RNA (460 nucleotides) under uncultured bacterium. RNAcentral's name for it is "bacterial SSU rRNA". It matches the Rfam family "Bacterial small subunit ribosomal RNA", at positions 459 to 917 of the family's 1533-position model. The record is from RNAcentral.